UACUAGAGUAGCACUCGCAUAUCAAUAAGCGGAGGAAAAGAAACUAACAAGGAUUCCCCUAGUAACGGCGAGUGAAGCGGGAAGAGCUCAAAUUUGAAAUCUUAAAGGGUUUCCCUUUACGAAUUGUAGUUUAAAGAAGUGUUUUCUGUUGAGGUUUUGGUAAAAGUUCUUUGGAAUAGGACAUCAUAGAGGGUGAGAAUCCCGUAUUUGACCUUUACUUUCAACUUUGUGAUACACUUUCAAAGAGUCGGAUUGUUUGGGAAUGCAGUCCAAAAUGGGUGGUAAAUUUCAUCUAAAGCUAAAUAUUGGCGAGAGACCGAUAGCGAACAAGUACCGUGAGGGAAAGAUGAAAAGAACUUUGAAAAGAGAGUUAAACAGUACGUGAAAUUGUCAAAAGGGAAGCGUUUGACACCAGUGUUGUUUUCCUGAAAAUCAAUUAAAGAACUGUUUAUGCUAAGUUGUUUAGACUUUAUCAGCUAUCUGUUUAGUUUUGAGCUUUUCUUUAAUGCACUUUUCAGUUAACAAGUCAACAUCAAUUUCUUUUGCUGUAAAAAAGCUUGAGGAAGGUGGCUUGAGAUUCGUCUUAAGUGUUUAUAGCCUCUUGCCUAUGCAGUCGGAGAGAUUGAGGUCUGCAGCGUAGAUCCUUCGGGGCUAAAUGCAUUUGUGCUAAGUUAUAGCAUUUUAUAGACAACUUGUUGACUAUGAUUUGUCUUGUAGCUUACUCGCUUAUGUUAUUUUACCUACGCUUAGGAUGUUGAACUCUAUCACACACAG
Molecule: ribosomal RNA, 774 nt
Filed under: uncultured Neocallimastigales
Lineage: Eukaryota; Fungi; Neocallimastigomycota; Neocallimastigomycetes; Neocallimastigales
Description: partial large subunit ribosomal RNA
Rfam family: Eukaryotic large subunit ribosomal RNA
Source: RNAcentral